GCAGGGUGUGGUGGCACACACCUGCAAUCCCAGCUACUUGGGAGUCUGAGGCAGGAUGAUUCUAAGUUUGAGGCCAGUCUGGACAAUUUAGGGAGAUCCUGUCUCAA
This 107-nucleotide small RNA is filed under the name Marmota monax (woodchuck). Lineage: Eukaryota; Metazoa; Chordata; Mammalia; Rodentia; Sciuridae. The record is from RNAcentral.